CAGCCGCCACGGGAAUACGAAGGGUGCAAGCGUUACUCGGAAUUACUGGGCGUAAAGCGUGCGUAGGUGGUGGUUUAAGUCCGUUGUGAAAGCCCUGGGCUCAACCUGGGAAUUGCAGUGGAUACUGGGUCACUAGAGUGUGGUAGAGGAUAGUGGAAUUUCCGGUGUAGCAGUGAAAUGCGUGGAGAUCGGAAGGAACAUCUGUGGCGAAGGCGACUAUCUGGGCCAACACUGACACUGAGGCACGAAAGCGUGGGGAGCAAACAGGAUUAGAUACCCCAGUAGUCCCCUGUCUCUUAUA
RNAcentral lists this ribosomal RNA (301 nucleotides) under uncultured bacterium. RNAcentral's name for it is "partial 16S ribosomal RNA". It matches the Rfam family "Bacterial small subunit ribosomal RNA", at positions 509 to 808 of the family's 1533-position model. The record is from RNAcentral.